AUUUUGCACCUGAGUCUGACAUCGUAGAAGGACCAUUCUGGUAUCAGAUUGGAUUUUGCACCUGACCCUAACAUCGUAGAAGGACCAUUCUUGCAUCAGAUUGUUAGUAUUAAGUUUUAUUAUCUUAAAUAACUUUUAUUACUUUCAUUUAUGACGAUGCCCUCAGGGCGAAACAUGUCAAACUCAUUAUAUAAAAUUGUAAAAUCCAAUAAAAAUCACGUUGACAUUUAAUAAAUAAAUAAAUAACUUUUGUGAUUAUUACACAAAUUGACUCCCAAAAUGUAUGCUUCUGUGUUUUCUUUAAUAAAGAAUAUGUUUAAGUUUUUCUAAUUAAAA
Molecule: long non-coding RNA, 336 nt
Organism: Dalotia coriaria
Lineage: Eukaryota; Metazoa; Arthropoda; Insecta; Coleoptera; Staphylinidae
Exons: 2
Source: RefSeq, a predicted model, not a curated record